GAUGAACGCUGGCGGCGUGCCUAAUACAUGCAAGUCGAGCGGCAGCACGGUCUUCGGACUGGUGGCGAGCGGCGGACGGCUGAGUAACGCGUAGGAACGUACCCCAAAGUGAGGGAUAAGCACCAGAAAUGGUGUCUAAUACCGCAUGUGCUCUACGGAGUAAAGCUUUUGCGCUUUGGGAGCGGCCUGCGCAUGAUUAGCUAGUUGGUGAGGUAAUGGCUCACCAAGGCGAUGAUCAUUAGCUGGUCUGAGAGGAUGAUCAGCCAGACUGGGACUGAGACACGGCCCAGACUCCUACGGGAGGCAGCAGUAGGGAAUUUUCCACAAUGGGGGCAACCCUGAUGGAGCAACGCCGCGUGCAGGAUGAAGGCCUUCGGGUUGUAAAGCUCUUUUGGCGGGGACGAUGAUGACGGUACCCGCAGAAUAAGCCCCGGCAAACUUCGUGCCAGCCGCCGCCGUAA
RNAcentral lists this ribosomal RNA (461 nucleotides) under uncultured bacterium. RNAcentral describes it as "partial 16S ribosomal RNA". It matches the Rfam family "Bacterial small subunit ribosomal RNA", at positions 28 to 523 of the family's 1533-position model. The record is from RNAcentral.